CGCAGCCGCGGUAAUUCCAGCUCCAAUAGCGUAUAUUAAAGUUGCUGCAGUUAAAAAGCUCGUAGUUGAAUUUCGGGACUAAUAUGUCGGUCGUGCCUCGGUACGUACUGGCUUAUUGGUUUCUCCUUUCUGAAGAACCAUGAUGUCAUUUAUUUGGUGUCGUGGGGAAUCAGGACUGUUACUUUGAAAAAAUUAGAGUGUUUAAAGCAGGCUCACGCUUGAAUACAUUAGCAUGGAAUAAUGAAAUAGGACGUUUGAUUCUAUUUUGUGGUUUCUAGGAUCGACGUAAUGAUUAAUAGGGAUAGUUGGGGGCAUUAGUAUUCAAUUGUUCAGAGGUGAAAUUACUUGGAUUAUUGAAGACUAACUACUGCGAAAGACAUUUGCCAAGGAUGUUUUCUAUUAAUUCAAGAACGAAAGUUAGGGAGUCGAAGACGAUCAGAUACCGUCGUAGUCUUAACCAUAAACUAUGCCGACUAGGGAUCGGAUGAUGUUAAUUUUUAAUUAGUACUCUAUUCGGCGCCUUACGGGAAACCGAAAGUUA
Molecule: ribosomal RNA, 541 nt
Filed under: uncultured Glomus
Lineage: Eukaryota; Fungi; Glomeromycota; Glomeromycetes; Glomerales; Glomeraceae
Description: SSU rRNA
Rfam family: Eukaryotic small subunit ribosomal RNA
Source: RNAcentral